Molecule: ribosomal RNA, 433 nt
Filed under: uncultured bacterium
Lineage: Bacteria
Description: partial 16S ribosomal RNA
Rfam family: Bacterial small subunit ribosomal RNA
Source: RNAcentral
AGCGAACGCUGGCGGCAGGCCUAACACAUGCAAGUCGAACGAACUCUUCGGAGUUAGUGGCCGACGGGUGAGUAACACGUGGGAACGUGCCUUUUGGUUCGGAAUAACUCAGGGAAACUUGUGCUAAUACCGAAUGUGCCCUUCGGGGGAAAGAUUUAUCGCCAUUAGAGCGGCCCGCGUCUGAUUAGCUAGUUGGUGAGGUAACGGCUCACCAAGGCGACGAUCAGUAGCUGGUCUGAGAGGAUGACCAGCCACACUGGGACUGAGACACGGCCCAGACUCCUACGGGAGGCAGCAGUGGGGAAUCUUGCGCAAUGGGCGAAAGCCUGACGCAGCCAUGCCGCGUGAAUGAUGAAGGUCUUAGGAUUGUAAAAUUCUUUCACCGGGGACGAUAAUGACGGUACCCGGAGAAGAAGCCCCGGCUAACUUCGUG